Molecule: ribosomal RNA, 395 nt
Filed under: uncultured bacterium
Lineage: Bacteria
Description: bacterial SSU rRNA
Rfam family: Bacterial small subunit ribosomal RNA
Source: RNAcentral
GUGUCAGCAGCCGCGGUAAUACGGAGACUGCGAGCGUUACUCGGAUUCACUGGGCGUAAAGGGUGCGCAGGCGGUUAAUUGUGUCAGGUGUGAAAUCCCGGAGCUUAACUCCGGAACUGCGCCUGAAACUGAUUGACUAGAGACUCGGAGAGGUAAGUGGAAUUCCAGGUGUAGCGGUGAAAUGCGUAGAUAUCUGGAGGAACACCAAAGGCGAAGGCAGCUUACUGGACGAGAUCUGACGCUCAGGCACGAAAGCGUGGGGAGCAAAAAGGAUUAGAUACCCUUGUAGUCCACGCCGUAAACUUUGUACACUAGGUUUUGGGGGAUUCGACCCCCUCAGGGCUCAAGCUAACGUGAUAAGUGUACCGCCUGAGGACUACGACCGCAAGGUUAAA